UACGAAGGUGGCAAGCGUUGUUCGGAUUUACUGGGCGUACAGGGAGCGUAGGCGGUUGGAUAAGCCCUCCGUGAAAUCUCCAGGCUUAACCUGGAAAGUGCAGAGGGGACUGUUCAGCUAGAGGAUGGGAGAGGAGCGCGGAAUUCCCGGUGUAGCGGUGAAAUGCGUUGAUAUCUAUCGGAACGCCGAAGGUGAAAACAGGCAGCUGGGCUUGUCCUGACGCUGAGGUACGAAAGCGUGGGGAGCAAACGGG
RNAcentral lists this ribosomal RNA (253 nucleotides) under uncultured bacterium. RNAcentral describes it as "partial 16S ribosomal RNA". It matches the Rfam family "Bacterial small subunit ribosomal RNA", at positions 524 to 776 of the family's 1533-position model. The record is from RNAcentral.